CCUACGGGUGGCAGCAGUGAGGAAUAUUGGUCAAUGGACGCAAGUCUGAACCAGCCAUGCCGCGUGCAGGAAGACGGCUCUAUGAGUUGUAAACUGCUUUUGUACGAGGGUAAACGCAGAUACGCGUAUCUGUCUGAAAGUAUCGUACGAAUAAGGAUCGGCUAACUCCGUGCCAGCAGCCGCGGUAAUACGGAGGAUUCAAGCGUUAUCCGGAUUUAUUGGGUUUAAAGGGUGCGUAGGCGGCAGGAUAAGUUAGUGGUGAAAUCACGAGGCUCAACUUAGAAAUUGCCGCUGAUACUGGUAGGCUAGAGAGUAGUUGCGGUAGGCGGAAUGUAUGGGGUAGCGGUGAAAUGCUUAGAGAUCAUACAGAACACCGAUUGCGAAGGCAGCUUACCAAGCUACUUCUGACGUUGAGGCACGAAAGCGUGGGGAGCAAACAGGAUUAGAUACCCGAGUAGUC
RNAcentral lists this ribosomal RNA (460 nucleotides) under uncultured bacterium. Its description in RNAcentral is "partial 16S ribosomal RNA". It matches the Rfam family "Bacterial small subunit ribosomal RNA", at positions 338 to 795 of the family's 1533-position model. The record is from RNAcentral.